This 851-nucleotide long non-coding RNA is filed under the name Trifolium pratense (red clover). RNAcentral describes it as "long non-coding RNA (TPRA_LNC003653)". The record is from RNAcentral. Lineage: Eukaryota; Viridiplantae; Streptophyta; Magnoliopsida; Fabales; Fabaceae.
GGAUGAUUUUCACUACGCUGGGGGCGUAGCUCAUCACGCGCCGCGUGAUGGAGCUCACAGGGAGCCAAGAUUUUCACUCUGAUCACGCGCGGCGUGAUACCUGACCACGCGCGGCGUGAAGCCUUGUUCAAGAAGAAGAUUGCUCUCUGACUUGAUCACGCGCCGCGUGAUACCGUUAUCACGCGCGGCGUAGCUGAUGGAUCUGUAACCACGCGCGGCGUGAUAGAUCUGGCGCGCGGCGUGGUUGCGUUCAGUAUAUAUGGUUUCUGCAUAAUUCUGUUUUGGGGUUGGAAAAUUCUGCAAAUUUGAUCUACAUUCUGGGUUUGGAAACUUCAAGAUUGGGAUUCAAGACUCCAGAGGAUAGCUCCAAGCACAUCGAUAGCAUGGAUUCACAAGCCAUGACGUUGAAGCUAGGACGCGAACGAAGGGAGAUGAGGAGCUAAGCUUCUUUGGAGGUAGGAUCUAGGAUAGUCUAGGAUGUAGAUGGAUCAGUUGUAAUCCGCUAUAUGUGUAAGAAUCUACUCUGUUCAUAGUGUUGAUUUAAUGCAAUUCGAUGCUUAAUGCUUUAUAAUCCUUCAUUAGUGUUGUAAUGAUUUCGAGUUAAGUCACGUGCGAGAGUAUUGAUUUAAUUUCUGAACUGAAUUGCAUUGAGCACUCGAGUGUCUCCGGUCGAGAGAUUGAGGCAUAGAGUGUAGCGAACGAUCGACGCGCGUUCAUAUCAUCGUUGUAGGUAGCUUCCGCCCGAGAGAUCGGGGGAGUAUCGACAACGAAUAGAGUGGAUUUUGACAAGAGAUUGCGAUUCACUAAUUUGUCGAUCUAGUUGUGAACACUUGAGUAGAUUCCUAUGAUAU